This 429-nucleotide ribosomal RNA is filed under the name Actinomycetes bacterium. RNAcentral describes it as "Actinobacteria bacterium partial 16S ribosomal RNA". It matches the Rfam family "Bacterial small subunit ribosomal RNA", at positions 355 to 776 of the family's 1533-position model. The record is from RNAcentral. Lineage: Bacteria; Bacillati; Actinomycetota; Actinomycetes.
UAGGGAAUCUUCCGCAAUGGGCGAAAGCCUGACGGAGCAACGCCGCGUGAGUGAUGAAGGUCUUCGGAUCGUAAAACUCUGUUAUUAGGGAAGAACAAAUGUGUAAGUAACUAUGCACGUCUUGACGGUACCUAAUCAGAAAGCCACGGCUAACUACGUGCCAGCAGCCGCGGUAAUACGUAGGUGGCAAGCGUUAUCCGGAAUUAUUGGGCGUAAAGCGCGCGUAGGCGGUUUUUUAAGUCUGAUGUGAAAGCCCACGGCUCAACCGUGGAGGGUCAUUAGAAACUGGAAAACUUGAGUGCAGAAGAUGAAAGUGGAAUUCCAUGUGUAGCGGUGAAAUGCGCAGAGAUAUGGAGGUACACCAGUGGCGAAGGCGACUUUCUGGUCUGUAACUGACGCUGAUGUGCGAAAGCGUGGGGAUCAAACAGG